This 546-nucleotide ribosomal RNA is filed under the name Oridorsalis umbonatus. Its description in RNAcentral is "bacterial SSU rRNA". It matches the Rfam family "Eukaryotic small subunit ribosomal RNA", at positions 1220 to 1547 of the family's 1831-position model. Lineage: Eukaryota; Foraminifera; Rotaliida; Alabaminidae. The record is from RNAcentral.
GGGUCCGGACACACUGAGGAUUGACAGGCAAUAUUAAUACGUGUUUCGGCGCGUAUUAUGUUAAAUAUGCUAGUCCUUUCAUGAUUAUGUGAUAGGUGGUGCAUGGCCGUUCUUAGUUCGUGGAGUGAUCUGUCUGCUUAAUUGCGUUUCACUAAGGAUCUAUCAAUACGUGUGUUGCGGCACUUUGACCCCUCUCUGAGCGCGCGUCUUAGUUGCUUAGCUCGCACAAUUAGGUCCUGAAAGCAACGAACGUGACCGCAACCUCUUGUUGCCUUUAUACCAAACACAUUAAUCACUUUUGUGAUUUUUGUGCAAAAAGGCUUUUUAAACUAGAGGGACCGCUGUUACUUUCUUAAACCAGAGGAAGGUUGCGGCAAUAACAGGUCUGUGAUGCCCUUAGAUGUUCCGGGCUGCACACGUGCUACAAUGAUUGUUGCAGUGAGCAUCUCAUUUUUACACACCGCAUGCGCGAGUCCAUUUAUUCACUUCGGUGCUUUAAAUGUGUAUUUCUGCGCGCGGUAAAGCCUGCUUCGAGAGUAAGUGGGU